GUAGGUGGCAAGCGUUGUCCGGAAUUAUUGGGCGUAAAGCGCGCGCAGGCGGUUUUUUAAGUCUGAUGUGAAAGCCCACGGCUCAACCGUGGAGGGUCAUUGGAAACUGGAGAACUUGAGUACAGAAGAGGAAAGCGGAAUUCCACGUGUAGCGGUGAAAUGCGUAGAGAUGUGGAGGAACACCAGUGGCGAAGGCGGCUUUCUGGUCUGUAACUGACGCUGAGGCGCGAAAGCGUGGGGAGCAAACAGGAUUAGAUACCCUGGUAGUCCACGCCGUAAACGAUGAGUGCUAAGUGUUAGGGGGUUUCCGCCCCCCUUAGUGCUGCAGCUAACGCAUUAAGCACUCCGCCUGGGAGUACGGCCGCAAGGCUG
RNAcentral lists this ribosomal RNA (372 nucleotides) under uncultured organism. RNAcentral's name for it is "partial 16S ribosomal RNA". It matches the Rfam family "Bacterial small subunit ribosomal RNA", at positions 527 to 896 of the family's 1533-position model. The record is from RNAcentral.